CUGAGCUCCGUGUCCUCUCGCGUCGAGCUCUGCAUCAACGAAUCCUGCUCGCCUCGUUUACGACGCUCGAACCUCCUGCCUCAUCGGGAUAAGAAGGGUCAUGCUCCGCCUGUUUCUGUGGCUCCACGACUCCAUGCAAAGGUGAUUCUUCCACUGGUGGCCCAUCACGGGAAUCGCAGGGUUGUUCGUGCGUCCUCCUCAUUCGUGUCGCUCGCCCAUUCGGCCAUUCCGUCCCCAAUCUGCUUUACGCACCCGUCGUCGUCCUUCAGCCUCGUCCUCUGUGUGCUCGCCACACUCGCCCCAUUCCACGACCUUGCUCCGCUGCCAUGGGCCGUCUUCUCUCAUUUUCCGAUUCCCAUCUCACCCAUCUCUCUCCAUGAGAGCACGAGCGAGCGGGUUCGAUCAGCAGGUGAAAGAGCAGACCCAAGGAGCUUAGGCACCUCAAGACCGCAGCGUUGA
Molecule: unclassified non-coding RNA, 459 nt
Filed under: Zea mays
Lineage: Eukaryota; Viridiplantae; Streptophyta; Magnoliopsida; Poales; Poaceae
Description: misc RNA Zm00001eb189230
Source: RNAcentral